Molecule: ribosomal RNA, 502 nt
Filed under: uncultured bacterium
Lineage: Bacteria
Description: bacterial SSU rRNA
Rfam family: Bacterial small subunit ribosomal RNA
Source: RNAcentral
AACAACGCUGGCGGCGUGCCUAACACAUGCAAGUCGUACGAGAAAGUCGGCUUCGGCCGAUGAGUACAGUGGCGCACGGGUGAGUAGCGCGUGGGUAAUCUGCCCCCCGGUCAGGAAUAACCCGCCGAAAGGCGGGCUAAUACCCGAUAACACUGACGCUCCGCGGAGCGUCUUUCAAAGAAGGCCUCUGUUUACAAGCUUUCGCCGGAGGAUGAGCCCGCGUACCAUUAGCUAGUUGGCAGGGUAAUGGCCUACCAAGGCUACGAUGGUUAGCUGGUCUGAGAGGAUGGCCAGCCACACUGGAACUGAGACACGGUCCAGACCCCUACGGGAGGCAGCAGUGAGGAAUAUUGCGCAAUGGGGGCAACCCUGACGCAGCAACGCCGCGUGAGUGAGGAAGGUUUUCGGACCGUAAAGCUCUGUCGAGCGGGAAGAAAUGUAUCAUGGCUAAUAUCCAUGAUACUUGACGGUACCGCUAAAGGAAGCACCGGCUAACUCCGUG